GUAGGUGGCAAGCGUUGUCCGGAAUUAUUGGGCGUAAAGCGCGCGCUGGUGGUUCUUUAAGUCUGAUGUGAAAGCCCCAGGCUCAACCGGGGAGGGUCAUUGGAAACUGGGGAACUUGAGUGCAGGAGAGGAAAGUGGAAUUCCACGUGUAGCGGUGAAAUGCGUAGAUAUGUGGAGGAACACCAGUGGCGAAGGCGACUUUCUGGCCUGUAACUGACACUGAGGCGCGAAAGCGUGGGGAGCAAACAGGGAUUAGAUACCCUGGUAGUCCACGCCGUAAACGAUGAGUGCUAAGUGUUGGGGGGGUUUCCCGCCCCUCAGUGCUGCAGCUAACGCAUUAAGCACUCCGCCUGGGGAGUACGGUCGCAAGACUG
RNAcentral lists this ribosomal RNA (374 nucleotides) under uncultured organism. RNAcentral describes it as "partial 16S ribosomal RNA". It matches the Rfam family "Bacterial small subunit ribosomal RNA", at positions 527 to 896 of the family's 1533-position model. The record is from RNAcentral.